UACAGAGGGUGCGAGCGUUAAUCGGAGUUACUGGGCGUAAAGGGUUCGUAGGUGGCUUGUUAAGUCAGACGUGAAAUCCCUCGGCUCAACCGGGGAACUGCGUCUGAGACUGAUGAGCUCGAGUGCAGGAGAGGAACGCGGAAUUCCAGGUGUAGCGGUGAAAUGCGUAGAUGUCUGGAGGAACACCGGUGGCGAAGGCGGCGUUCUGGACUGCAACUGACACUGAGGAACGAAAGCCAGGGGAGCAAACGGG
RNAcentral lists this ribosomal RNA (253 nucleotides) under uncultured bacterium. Its description in RNAcentral is "partial 16S ribosomal RNA". It matches the Rfam family "Bacterial small subunit ribosomal RNA", at positions 524 to 776 of the family's 1533-position model. The record is from RNAcentral.